Cydia amplana is the source of this 64-nucleotide long non-coding RNA. RefSeq lists it as uncharacterized. Lineage: Eukaryota; Metazoa; Arthropoda; Insecta; Lepidoptera; Tortricidae. The transcript has 2 exons. The record is from RefSeq and is a predicted model, not a curated record.
CAGAAGCGCCGUGUGAGUCUGUUCACUUUUAGGUUACCAGUCUAUCCUUCCACAAAAACCAAAA